AUGGCGGAUACCAACGGCAACGGCAACGGCAACGGGGCCGCGAGCAGCGUGACGGCGCCGCUGAUGCUCCACGGGCGCGUGGCGAUCGUCGGGGGCCCGGCGCCGGCCAAGGAGGUCGUGGCCGGCAUCAACGCCGCCCACGGCGACGGCCAUGCCAUCGCGCCGGCGCUGGCGGAGACGAGCGAGGCGACGUACGACGCCGCGUUCGGCGUCAACGCGCGGGGCACCUUCCUGUGCCUCCGGGAGGCGGCCAACCGGCUGGCGCGCGACGGGCGGGGCCGCAUCGUCACCUUCUCGUCGUCGGGGGUCGGGUCGCUGCGGCCCGGCUACGCGGCGUACGCGGCCAGCAAGGCGGCGGUGGAGACGAUGACGAGGAUCCUGGCCAAGGAGCUGCGGGGCACGGGGAUCACCGCCAACGCCGUGGCGCCGGGGUCCACGGCCACCCCGAUGUUCUACAACGGGAAGACGGAGGAGGAGGCGGCGCGGUACAUCGCCGAGGCGCCGCUGGGGCGGCUCGGGCUGCCGGAGGACAUCGCGCCGCUCGUCGGGUUCCUCGCCAGCGACGCCGGCGGGUGGGUCAACGGCCAGGUGCUGCGCUGCAACGGGGGCACCAUAUAG
Molecule: ribosomal RNA, 618 nt
Filed under: Triticum aestivum (bread wheat)
Lineage: Eukaryota; Viridiplantae; Streptophyta; Magnoliopsida; Poales; Poaceae
Description: partial small subunit ribosomal RNA
Source: RNAcentral